This 418-nucleotide unclassified non-coding RNA is filed under the name Hevea brasiliensis (rubber tree). Lineage: Eukaryota; Viridiplantae; Streptophyta; Magnoliopsida; Malpighiales; Euphorbiaceae. The record is from RNAcentral.
UAUGGGUGGACCAGCUGUAUCGUCUGAAAACGAUACACUAUGGAGGAGUUGGGUUCCUGAUAAGGAUUACUUGACACAGCCGGAUUUUGCAAAGUCCUUGUCGAAGAUUGGAUCUGUAAAGUAUUUAGCGGGUGGAGCAACGUCGGAUAUAGCACCACCGAGUGUUUAUGGUACUUGUACUAAGAUGAAUGUGGAUGGUGCUGGUAAUGAUGCUAGUGCUAAUUUUAAUGUGACGUGGGUGUUCAAUGUGGAUGUUGGUUUCCAGUAUUUCAUUCGAUUACAUUUGUGUGAUAUUGUGAGUACAGCUGCUAAUCAGCUGUUGUUUAAUAUGUAUGUUGAUUCGUCGAAUAUAGCUUCUGAUUUUGAUCUGAGUUCUAAAGUUCAGAGCAGAUUGGCUACCGCGUAUUACAUGGAUUUG